This 392-nucleotide ribosomal RNA is filed under the name uncultured bacterium. Its description in RNAcentral is "partial 16S ribosomal RNA". It matches the Rfam family "Bacterial small subunit ribosomal RNA", at positions 523 to 918 of the family's 1533-position model. The record is from RNAcentral.
AUACGGAGGAUCCGAGCGUUAUCCGGAUUUAUUGGGUUUAAAGGGUGCGCAGGCGGCCAUUUAAGUCAGCGGUUAAAUCGUGGGGCUCAACCCCAUUCUGCCGUUGAUACUGGGUGGCUUGAUUGCGGUCGAGGUUGGCGGAAUUCGUUGUGUAGCGGUGAAAUGCAUAGAUAUGACGAAGAACACCGAUUGCGAAGGCAGCCUGCUGGACUGUAACUGACGCUGAUGCUCGAAAGUGUGGGUAUCAAACAGGAUUAGAUACCCUGGUAGUCCACACAGUAAACGAUGAAUACUCGCUGUUUGCGAUAUACAGUAAGCGGCCAAGCGAAAGCGUUAAGUAUUCCACCUGGGGAGUACGACCGCAAGGUUGAAACUCAAAUGAAUUGGCGGGG